Molecule: long non-coding RNA, 847 nt
Organism: Pantherophis guttatus
Lineage: Eukaryota; Metazoa; Chordata; Lepidosauria; Squamata; Colubridae
Source: RefSeq, a predicted model, not a curated record
GCCGCGGGUCGGGAUAAAAGGGCAGGGCGCGAUGCCUGGACGUUCUCCGAGGACUGCGGGCUUCGACCCUUCCCCCCACGCAACCACAGAGUCCCUCAGAGACCCGCGUGGCUUCGAGGAGCUGACGGUGCUGCAGAGCAAAUCCGACCGGCUGUUGGCAACCCAGCUGGAAAAGGCGGGCUCGGUUGCAGCCCCUCUCCAGCCAUUUUGAUGGUGGUGGUAGGGGAGGGGGGGCGCUUCAACAAGCGGAGAAGAGCAGCAGCACCGCCUCGGGCACGCCGGUCGAGCCACAAGGCUCCCUCGGCCUCCUGUCUCCCAGCCCGGUUUGCCGCCCUUGCGCCUUACUUACCCAUGGCCAGCGAGGAGGAGGCGCAGCAGCUGCCCGAGCAGUUCAGCGCGGAUCCAGCCUUGGCUGCUUUCACGGCCCUUUUCCAGCCCUCUUCAUCGCCCAUCUCCGCCUCCUCCUCCUCCUCCCGUUUCCCCCCCAGCCUGGCUGGCUGCGCCUCUCGCGGCCGGAGGACUGAGAUGGCGCCGUGCCCAGGACCGACGGCGCUGGAGCCGGCGCGCGAAAAGUCGGGGUCCCGGCCGCACCAGGGUGCCGCUUUAAGGCAGGGCCGCCCUCCGGUUUUGGAAUAUUAGGACAGGGACGAAUGUUUGCAACCGUGUCCUUUGCUUCUGGAGGAAGAACGGAACUCAAGUAUUGAACAAACUGUGGCUUGUAGAAGUCUAUUAUUAAGCUACGAAGCUUUUCACUAAAACAGAAGAGAGGGAAAAUGAAAUAGUCAACUGUGGAAAUAUUUCUAAGAGUAAUGUUACGUGUGGAAAUAAAGAACAGAAAAAUACCUGG